AUGAAAAAUGUGUGCCAAUAUAGCACACUCGAUCCCAUCGAAUGCCUUGAACUCCAUCUCAGAGCAAUAGUUUUGAACACCUAUGAAGGCAAGAGAGCAGAUGUUAACUUUGCCAAGUUCUUUGUUCUGGACGCAAAGGUGCUCAAGGUAAUGAAAUUUGGUGCCAGUGGUACCUGCAAUGAUAAAUGGGUGGCUAAUCAGCGCAGGCGGCUACAACUGGAUAUCAGUGCUUCCAGAGGUGCAAGAUUUUAUUUUAAAAGAGAUUUUGAUAUCCCCAGCUUUUGCGAUCACUAUCACUUUCAUGGUAUGUGGACAGUUGAUCCCUUUGGUAGCUCGUAG
Molecule: ribosomal RNA, 339 nt
Filed under: Triticum aestivum (bread wheat)
Lineage: Eukaryota; Viridiplantae; Streptophyta; Magnoliopsida; Poales; Poaceae
Description: partial small subunit ribosomal RNA
Source: RNAcentral